RNAcentral lists this long non-coding RNA (1024 nucleotides) under Homo sapiens (human). RNAcentral's name for it is "HSALNT0092875". The record is from RNAcentral. Lineage: Eukaryota; Metazoa; Chordata; Mammalia; Primates; Hominidae.
CGGUCACCCAGUCAACAGUGUCCAUCAUAUUCACCUAUGUCUAAUCUAUCAUCAUUCCUGCUCAUUUCCCUUUGUAGAGUAGCUUUUGAAUCUCCACAACCACUUACCUAAUUCAAAACCACAUCAUCUAUAGACUCCUUUUUUGCAAAAAAAUCUCCAAAGAGGUCUCAGUGUGUCAUGUACAUUUGCAGAAGUAUUUGAGAAUAUUUAAUUCUACUGUAAAAGACAAACGAAGGAUGGCUGCAACUCAUAAGAAGUAUGAAAGGCAAAUCCACUGAGAAGUGGCUGGUAUUGUCCAAACCCACCAUGCUCUUCCUCCUGACUGCUUUGUGCAUGCUGCAUCUCCGGCUUGGAUGUCCUCUGCCCACUGCUUGCACCCCUUAUGCCAAUCCUGGACCCGCAGCUCCUUGGAUCACAUGUCUCAUUCAAACCACCCAGUCCUGCAGAGUAGGUUGGCCCUGUUCCAAUUUCCUCUCUCAUCCUGCAGCUCUGAACUGACUGGCUGGCUUGUGGGCAGAAUGGGUUGAAGCCCUGCGUGAGUUACAGAUGAUGAAUGCUUGGAAAGGAGGGAGCCAAAGGCAAAUCGUGCUCCACAUUGCAAAAUGUCUUCUUUCUCUGCACAUCUCAUUUUCCUUUUACCCUGCCCUGACACUCCAAAGCCAGUAAUGAGAAACCUGGAUUCAUUUUGUAACAGAAGACUGCACACUGUAGCUCUAAAUUGUGCCUUAAAAUUUUAAUAGCAGGCUAAAUCGAAAAACACAUAGGGAGCAUUUUGAAGAUGCCCUGCAGCUGGAUUUGUUUUAUGCUAGAGCAAUUUUGCUGCCUGACUGCUUCCUGCUGAAAGCACAGAGGAUGUGCUGAAAUGUUGCCACUGUAAACAAAACUAGAUCAGGCAGAAGCCUCUCUCCCGCACCCACAGACCUACCUUGUAAAUUGCUGGCAGCAGUGUUAUUUGACAGACACAGUGCUAGGAAGCAAGUGGCUUCAAAAAUAAGAAAUGAAAGGGAGGGAUUCCUCACAACAA